GAUGUUCGCUGACUCGUGUAGGAGACUAAGGAUCAUGAAAGGCUCCGAGGCAAUUGGGCUAGCUCCAAGAGGUAUCCAAAAAUCUUGGAGCCAAUACUAGUGCAGAAAAUUCUGUUGGACCAAAGUGGAGACUUAACUGAUAUGCAUAUAUAAUGGUUUUUAAGCACGUUUGAGUUAAUUAUGGUUAUGUUCCAAAUCAAAAAUAUAUGUAUAACUUAGACAUGUCAAUCUGUAAUUCACUUCUGCCUGCUACAGAAGUAUCAUCACAUAGCAUGAGAUUCUAAACUUAGACAAGUUUUCAUAUUAAUUGGUUGUGUACAUAUACAAGGAUGUUACAAAGUAUGGUAAACAAGGUAUUUGUCUUUCUUUAAUUGCCCAUAUUGUUUUAUCAAAGCCCACAUCGGCUGCAGCAUAUAUGAAAGUAAACUGCUUACUGUAUAAAUAAUAUGAGCCUGCUUAUGUUGAAAUACGGAACCGUGUGAUGAGCACAAAGUGAACUAUUCUUUCGCCUUUUACUAAAGAAUACCGUGUGCUCUUCACUGAUAGCGGUAUACACGUAUUUUUGAAAGUGUUCUCUAAAUAGAGAGCACUGCAUUGAUAGUUAAAAUUUUGAAAUAAAAUGUUUUUAAUGAAAUGCAAGUUUUUUAAUUGUUUUGAAUUAUAUUACUUGGCUAUCUUGAAAUAUUGAAUUUAGUAUUUGUUAAGCUUUGGAUUAAAUUAAUCAUAAACUGUUUAAAAUGAAGAAAUUAUAUAUAAUUAAUCAACAAAGUAAACAAUUAACAAGUUGCUGACAUAUGGUGAUGAAAUCUUUGACCUGUGAGCUCAACUAAGAUGUCUAUGCAACUCUUGUUACAUUAUGCUGAGAAAGGUAUAUCUGCAUAUAUUCAACUUGUAUUCAUUGCUUCUUGAA
RNA transcript from Trifolium pratense (red clover), 910 nucleotides. It is a transcript of the gene named auxin-responsive protein IAA16-like, with no coding region annotated. The record is from RefSeq and is a predicted model, not a curated record. NCBI's taxonomy places the organism in Eukaryota, Viridiplantae, Streptophyta, Magnoliopsida, Fabales, Fabaceae. The transcript has 2 exons.